CGAGUUUGAUCCUGGCUCAGAACGAACGCUGGCGGCAGGCCUAAUACAUGCAAGUCGAACGCCCCUUCGGGGGAGUGGCGCACGGGUGAGUAACGCGUGGGAAUGUGCCCUUGGGUACGGAAUAACGUCGGGAAACUGACGCUAAUACCGUAUGAUGUCUUCGGACCAAAGAUUUAUCGCCCAGGGAUCAGCCCGCGUAAGAUUAGCUAGUUGGUGAGGUAAUGGCUCACCAAGGCUCCGAUCUUUAGCUGGUCUUAGAGGAUGAUCAGCCACACUGGAACUGAGACACGGUCCAGACUCCUACGGGAGGCAGCAGUAAGGAAUAUUGGACAAUGGGCGAAAGCCUGAUCCAGCCAUGCCGCGUGAAUGAAGAAGGCCUUAGGGUUGUAAAGUUCUUUUAGUAUGUGAAGAUAAUGACGGUAGCAUCAGAAAAAGACUCCGGCUAACUCCGUG
RNAcentral lists this ribosomal RNA (453 nucleotides) under uncultured bacterium. RNAcentral describes it as "bacterial SSU rRNA". It matches the Rfam family "Bacterial small subunit ribosomal RNA", at positions 9 to 507 of the family's 1533-position model. The record is from RNAcentral.